This 2038-nucleotide long non-coding RNA is filed under the name Homo sapiens (human). Its description in RNAcentral is "HSALNT0151526". Lineage: Eukaryota; Metazoa; Chordata; Mammalia; Primates; Hominidae. The record is from RNAcentral.
GACCUCCCAAAGUGCUGGGAUUACAGGCGUGAGCCACCGCGCCUGGCCUAUUAUGAAUAUUCUUUACAUUCAUUCUGUUACUGGAAAGGGGUCCCAAUCCAGACCCCAAGAGAGUGUUCUCGGACUUCACACAAGAAAGAAUUUGGGGUGACUCCAGAGAGCAAAGCCAAAUCUCCAGAGAAUGCAUCACCAGCUAUCAUUGAGGCUUGACACCAUUGGGAGCAUCCAAGAGAGUCUUGGGAAUGGACUUUGACCUUCCUCUGAUGGGCACCGGCAGCAAGGACAAGGUCCCCAAGUAUCAUCAGAAAGCAAAGAAAACACCAAACGGAAAGGAAGAGUGUGGGGUGCACCCCCUUGGAGAAUGUGGCUGAGGCCAGAUGUGAGAGUUCACAGGAGACACCAGCAGAAACACAGACAUAACUUGUGACAUUUUUCAGUGUUCUAAGACAUGUCAGUUCAAGACUGGGCUUUCCCCAUUCAACCACUCUACUCACACUCAUGUGUGUUAUAGACAAAUUUAAACUGGAAUCUCUUUGAUUCCAGAAAGUUGAUUUACAUUGCAACAGAAAUGCUUGUUUAGCUGAAUAGGUCCCUAGGUAGUAAAGGGACUCCACACAGCAUUAUUUCUAGUGAAGUCUUUGAUUCACAGAAAGAUUCUUAGAAAUCUUGCAUCAGAGUGUAACAAUAAAAAAGAAACUGUUCGGAUUUUCAUGCAGGAAAUGCUCUUGGCCAGCAAUCACCCUCAGGAAAUUUUCAGAAAUGCACGUGAUGCCCAGAGAAGUGUUGUUUUGGGAAUACCUAGUAAUUAGUUCCAAAAUCUUACCAAACAGCAGCACAGGCCUAUAAUUUCUAUGUAAACUCAGCUCACUGUUUGAGUCAUACUAUGUUUCUUUUUUAGCUCAAGAUUUGUCAUCCACUACAAAAACCUCCUUUCGCUAUACAAAAUAGACAGCCACUCGAAAUUGCUGGAGGGAAAAGCCAGUUUGCACAAUGGGGGUGGCAUGUUUGGGUGAGAAAACCAGAGACUCGGAGUCAGGAAAUGCCAGUUCCUCCCUUCACUCCUGUGACCUAGAGCAAGCACCUUCACCCUUGAGAGUCUGGCCUUUCUUUCUUUCUUUUUUUCUUUUUUUUGAGAUGGAGUCUCACUCUGUCACCUAGGCUGGACUGCAGUGGCGCGAUCUCAGCUCGCUGCAACCUCCGUCCUCUGGGUUCAAGCGAUUCUCCUGCCUCAGCCUCCCGAGUAGCUGGGAUUACAGGCACCUGCCACCAUGCCAGGCUAAUUUUAAUAUUUUUAGUAGAGACGGGGUGUCACCAUCUUGGCCAGGCUGGUCUUGAAUUCCUGACCUCGUGAUCCACCCACCUUGGCCUCCCAAAGUGCUGGGAAUGUGUGAGCCACCACGCCUGGCCUGGCCUUCCUUUCUUGUAAAAUGAGAGGGUUAAGUCCAGGUUCGUAGUCAAUAACUACGUGUUCAGUAACAGAUUCGUACCAGGGAUUUCCACAAACUUUCCCCAACCCAAUCACCACCACUUCCUUUUAGGACUAAGAUUUUCAAGGUCUGCUUCAGUCUUCAUAGCUUUACAUGUCUGGGAACUUAUGUCUUAAAUUUUUUUGUAAGAAAAUUAUCCUGUGUGUAAUGGAAAUGGAAAUAUUUCUCUUGCUAACCUGAUUUCAACCUGCUGAAUAUAAAUAUUCACAUAACACAGCAUUUAUAAAAUAAAAAUCACUCAUAAGUAUAUCUUUCAGCAGUAACCACAGUUCAUAUUUUGGUGUGGCAGCAUCUAAACGUGUUUCUGUGGAGAUCCACACACAUUCAUUUAUCCUAGGGUAUUUUCAGAAGUCUUCCUAGUCUCCAUCUGCUUUUUUUUCUUGUUUGCCACAUGUUAUAUGGAUAUCUUUCCAUGUCAAUAUGAGAUCGUUUAAUGUCAAGAAAUACAGAUGAAGUCAUCAUUUUCAUGUUCAAUGGUUUGAGAACAUUCCAUCAUGUAGUUAAAUUAUAAUUUCUAUAACUCUUCCCUAUUGGUGGACAUUGAGGUUGGU